UACCCCUGAAUCUCGCCGUUCGCGAUUCGCGCCUGCAGGGUUGAAAGAUUGAAGUCUGGUCAUGUGAGCCAGCAAGCCCCCCACCACGGGGUAAACACCAAAGGAAAAGGCAGGGGCUCAAAGAGGUAUUUGUACACCCCUGGUCACAGCAGAGUCGCUCAAGGUGGAAGCAGCCCACGUGUCCGACGACCGAUGAGUGGAUAAACAAAAUGUGGUCCAUCCACACAGUGGAAUAUUAUUCAGCUUUAAAAAGGAGGGAAGUUUUGACACCUGCUACAGCACGGAUGAGUCUUGUGGACAUUACACUGAAUGAGAAGGCGGGUGCAAGGACGCUCCCAGCAAUGUGACCCCGAGCCGUCGAGAACGGCAGACAACCCAGCAGGAGCAUGAGGAGCCGUGGUUUAUCCGUACGCUGCAGUGAGAAGGCACAAGCCACUGCCACACACAACCAUGCGGAGAUAUCGGCUGAAAUACUGAAGAAUGCAAUGAUGGAAAAUCCAGGACUUACCUCCAAGUCCAGGUUGAUACUGUGGAAGCUUG
Non-coding RNA from Vicugna pacos (alpaca), 540 nucleotides. The record is from RefSeq and is a predicted model, not a curated record. Lineage: Eukaryota; Metazoa; Chordata; Mammalia; Artiodactyla; Camelidae.